AUGAACGCUGGCGGCGUGCCUAAUACAUGCAAGUCGCGCGAACAGACGAGGAGCUUGCUCCUCUGACGUUAGCGGCGGACGGGUGAGUAACACGUGGAUAACCUACCUAUAAGACUGGGAUAACUUCGGGAAACCGGAGCUAAUACCGGAUAAUAUAUUGAACCGCCUGGUUCAAUAGUGAAAGACGGUUUUGCUGUCACUUAUAGAUGGAUCCGCGCCGCAUUAGCUAGUUGGUAAGGUAACGGCUUACCAAGGCGACGAUGCGUAGCCGACCUGAGAGGGUGAUCGGCCACACUGGAACUGAGACACGGUCCAGACUCCUACGGGAGGCAGCAGUAGGGAAUCUUCCGCAAUGGGCGAAAGCCUGACGGAGCAACGCCGCGUGAGUGAUGAAGGUCUUCGGAUCGUAAAACUCUGUUAUUAGGGAAGAACAAAUGUGUAAGUAACUAUGCACGUCUUGACGGUACCUAAUCAGAAAGCCACGGCUAACUACGUG
Molecule: ribosomal RNA, 496 nt
Filed under: uncultured bacterium
Lineage: Bacteria
Description: partial 16S ribosomal RNA
Rfam family: Bacterial small subunit ribosomal RNA
Source: RNAcentral